GCGGACGGGUGAGUAAUACCUGGGAAUCUGCCUGAUAGUGGGGGAUAACGUUCGGAAACGGACGCUAAUACCGCAUACGUCCUACGGGAGAAAGCAGGGGAUCUUCGGACCUUGCGCUAUCAGAUGAGCCCAGGUCGGAUUAGCUUGUUGGUGAGGUAACGGCUCACCAAGGCGACGAUCCGUAACUGGUCUGAGAGGAUGAUCAGUCACACUGGAACUGAGACACGGUCCAGACUCCUACGGGAGGCAGCAGUGGGGAAUAUUGGACAAUGGGCGAAAGCCUGAUCCAGCCAUGCCGCGUGUGUGAAGAAGGUCUUCGGAUUGUAAAGCACUUUAAGUUGGGAGGAAGGGUUGUAGUUUAAUACGCUGCAAUCUUGACGUUACCGACAGAAUAAGCACCGGCUAACUCUGUGCCAGCAGCCGCGGUAAUACAGAGGGUGCAAGCGUUAAUCGGAAUUACUGGGCGUAAAGCGCGCGUAGGUGGCUAAGUAAGAUGGGUGUGAAAUCCCCGGGCUCAACCUGGGAACUGCAUCCAUAACUGCUUAGCUAGAGUACGGUAGAGGGUAGUGGAAUUUCCUGUGUAGCGGUGAAAUGCGUAG
This 599-nucleotide ribosomal RNA is filed under the name Halopseudomonas pelagia. RNAcentral describes it as "bacterial SSU rRNA". It matches the Rfam family "Bacterial small subunit ribosomal RNA", at positions 98 to 693 of the family's 1533-position model. The record is from RNAcentral. Lineage: Bacteria; Pseudomonadati; Pseudomonadota; Gammaproteobacteria; Pseudomonadales; Pseudomonadaceae.